RNAcentral lists this transfer RNA (337 nucleotides) under uncultured Pelagibacterales bacterium. RNAcentral describes it as "partial 16S-23S ribosomal RNA intergenic spacer". The stretch from base 107 to 180 matches the Rfam family "tRNA". Lineage: Bacteria; Pseudomonadati; Pseudomonadota; Alphaproteobacteria; Candidatus Pelagibacterales. The record is from RNAcentral.
CCUCCUUUCUAAGGAUGAAUGAAAGUAAAAUUUCAUUCUAAAUAAUAUACAUCGGUAAUGUUGACCGUCCUCAUUUCUCUUCUUAAGGUAAUGUUUCCUUCUUGUAGGGCCGGUAGCUCAGUUGGUUAGAGCACACCCUUGAUAAGGGUGGGGUCGAAAGUUCGAGUCUUUCUCGGCCCACCAUACUUAACUGGGGGAUUAGCUCAGCUGGGAGAGCGCCUGAUUUGCAUUCAGGAGGUCAGCGGUUCGAUCCCGCUAUCCUCCACCAGGAAACAUUUAGUUAUUAAAAUUGUAAAUAAAAAUAAUUUAUAUCAAUAUCUAUUUCCGAACAUUAAUU